UACGUAGGGCGCGAGCGUUGUCCGGAAUUAUUGGGCGUAAAGAGCUCGUAGGCGGCUUGUCGCGUCGAAUGUGAAAUCUCAGGGCUCAACUCUGACAUUGCAUUCGAUACGGGCAGGCUCGAGUUCGGUAGGGGAGACUGGAAUUCCUGGUGUAGCAGUGAAAUGCGUAGAUAUCAGGAGGAACACCGAUGGCGAAGGCAGGUCUCUGGGCCGAUACUGACGCUGAGGAGCGAAAGCGUGGGGAGGCGAACAG
RNAcentral lists this ribosomal RNA (253 nucleotides) under uncultured bacterium. RNAcentral describes it as "partial 16S ribosomal RNA". It matches the Rfam family "Bacterial small subunit ribosomal RNA", at positions 524 to 775 of the family's 1533-position model. The record is from RNAcentral.